RNAcentral lists this ribosomal RNA (465 nucleotides) under uncultured bacterium. RNAcentral's name for it is "partial 16S ribosomal RNA". It matches the Rfam family "Bacterial small subunit ribosomal RNA", at positions 28 to 507 of the family's 1533-position model. The record is from RNAcentral.
GACGAACGCUGGCGGCGUGCUUAACACAUGCAAGUCGAACGGAAAGGCCCUGCUUUCACGGUACUCGAGUGGCGAACGGGUGGGUAACACGUGGGUGGUCUGCCCUGCACUUCGGGGUGAGCUUGGGAAACUGGGUCUAGUAACGGAUAGGAGCCAUCUUUUGUGUGGUGGUUGUAAAUUUUUCGUGGUGUAGGAUGCGCUCGCGGCUUAUCAGCUUGUUUGUUGGGUAAUGGCCUACCAACGCGGCGACGGGUAGCCCGCCCGAGAGGGUGUACGGCGACAAUGGGACUGAGAGACGGCGCAGAAGGCAAUGGGAGGCAGUAGGGGGGAAUAUUACACAAUGGGGGCGAGCCUGAGGCAACGACGCCCCGUGGGGGAUGAACGGCUGUGGGUGGUAAACGCCUUUCGCUAUGGAAGAAGCUUUUUGUGACGGUACCUAGAUAAGAAGCAACGGCUAACUACGUG